CCUACGGGGGGCAGCAGUGGGGAAUAUUGGGCAAUGGAGGCAACUCUUACCCAGCAAUGCCGCGUGAAUGAAGAAGGUCUUCGGGUUGUAAAGUUCUUUACUUGGGGACGAAGAAAGUGACGGUACCCAAGGAAUAAGCCCCGGCUAACUACGUGCCAGCAGCCGCGGUAAUACGUAGGGGGCAAGCGUUGUUCGGAUUGACUGGGCGUAAAGGGGGUGUAGGCGGGGUAGCAAGUUAGAAGUGAAAUACCCAGAGCUUAACUCAGGUGCUGCUUCUAAAACGGCUAUACUUGAGUGCUGGAGAGGCAAGUGGAAUUCCGAGUGUAGCGGUGGAAUGCGUAGAUAUUAGGAGGAACAGCAGUGGCGAAGGCGACUUUCUGGACUGUAACUGACGCUGAGGCACGAAAGUGUGGGGAGCAAACAGGAUUAGAUACCCUUGUAGUC
This 444-nucleotide ribosomal RNA is filed under the name uncultured bacterium. Its description in RNAcentral is "partial 16S ribosomal RNA". It matches the Rfam family "Bacterial small subunit ribosomal RNA", at positions 338 to 795 of the family's 1533-position model. The record is from RNAcentral.